This 464-nucleotide ribosomal RNA is filed under the name uncultured bacterium. RNAcentral's name for it is "partial 16S ribosomal RNA". It matches the Rfam family "Bacterial small subunit ribosomal RNA", at positions 28 to 507 of the family's 1533-position model. The record is from RNAcentral.
GACGAAUGCUGGCGGCGUGCUUAACACAUGCAAGUCGAACGGAAAGGCCCUGCUUGCAGGGUACUCGAGUGGCGAACGGGUGAGUAACACGUGGGUGAUCUGCCCUGCACUUCGGGAUAAGCCUGGGAAACUGGGUCUAAUACCGGAUAUGAGCCAUCUUUAUUGCGAUGGUUGGAAAGUUUUUUCGGUGUAGGAUGAGCUCGCGGCCUAUCAGCUUGUUGGUGGGGUAAUGGCCUACCAAGGCGGCGACGGGUAGCCGGCCUGAGAGGGUGGACGGCCAAAUUGGGACUGGGAUACGGCCCAGACUCCAACGGGAGGCAGGAGGGGGGAAAAUUGCACAAUGGGGGCAAGCCUGAGGCAGCGACGCCGCGUGGGGGAGAACGGCCUUCGGGUUGUAAACUCCUUUCGCUAGGGACGAAGCUUUUGUGACGGUACCUGGAUAAGAAGCACCGGCUAACUACGUG